Molecule: ribosomal RNA, 455 nt
Filed under: uncultured bacterium
Lineage: Bacteria
Description: bacterial SSU rRNA
Rfam family: Bacterial small subunit ribosomal RNA
Source: RNAcentral
GAUAAACGCUGGCGGCGUGCUUUAUGCAUGCAAGUCGAACGGUCUCGAUUUAUCGGGAUAGUGGCGAACGGGUGAGUAACGCGUGAGUAACCUACCCCCAAGUAGAGGAUAACUCUGAGAAAUUGGAGCUAAUACUGUAUGUGCUAAUGGAGGUAAUGCUUCAUUAGUAAAGCCUUAGGGUGCUUGGAGACGGGCUUGCGUCCGAUUAGCUAGUUGGUGGGGUAAUGGCUUACCAAGGCGUUGAUCGGUAGCUGGUCUGAGAGGAUGGUCAGCCACACUGGGACUGAGAUACGGCCCAGACUCCUACGGGAGGCAGCAGCAAGGAAUAUUGUGCAAUGGGCGAAAGCCUGACACAGCGACGCCGCGUGGGGGAUGAAGGCUUUCGGGUCGUAAACCCCUUUUAUCAGGGAAGAACAAUGACGGUACCUGAGGAAUAAGUCACGGCUAACUACGUG